This 253-nucleotide ribosomal RNA is filed under the name uncultured bacterium. RNAcentral describes it as "partial 16S ribosomal RNA". It matches the Rfam family "Bacterial small subunit ribosomal RNA", at positions 524 to 776 of the family's 1533-position model. The record is from RNAcentral.
UACGUAGGGGCCUAGCGUUGUCCGGAUUUAUUGGGCGUAAAGAGCGUGUAGGCGGCCAGGUAGGUCCGUUGUGAAAACUCGAGGCUCAACCUCGAGACGCCGAUGGAAACCAUCUGGCUAGAGUCCGGAAGAGGAGAGUGGAAUUCCCGGUGUAGCGGUGAAAUGCGCAGAUAUCGGGAAGAACACCCGUGGCUAAGGCGGCUCUCUAGUACGGUACUGACGCUGAGACGCGAAAGCGUGGGGAGCGAACAGG